Non-coding RNA from Copromyces sp. CBS 386.78, 66 nucleotides. NCBI's taxonomy places the organism in Eukaryota, Fungi, Ascomycota, Sordariomycetes, Sordariales, Sordariaceae. The record is from the annotation of a GenBank genome assembly.
GCCCGCAUGGCUCAGUGGUAGAGCGCAUCACUGGUAAUGAUGAGCUGGUUCUGAGACAUGCAGGCA